GAAAUGCGAUAAGUAAUGUGAAUUGCAGAAUUCAGUGAAUCAUCGAAUCUUUGAACGCACAUUGCGCCCCCUGGCACUCCUGGGGGCACGCCUGUCCGAGCGUCAUGCUGGUCUUCGGGCUUCGGGCCUGGUCCUGGGGCGCUUCGCGCCGUGGGGUCCCCGUGGCCCCCCGAGCGCGGCCCCCAAAUCCAGCGGUGGCCGACCCCCCGGCGCGAGCGAUCGAGGCCCUGUCCCCGCCGCGCCGGCGACCGUCGCCUGCCCCAACGAGACCCCCGGGGAUGGUCCCCCGUGGGGUGGCUUCUGCGCCUUGACCUCGGAUCAGGCGGGGCUACCCGCUGAACUUAAGC
Molecule: unclassified non-coding RNA, 347 nt
Filed under: plant metagenome
Description: partial contains 5.8S ribosomal RNA, internal transcribed spacer 2, and large subunit ribosomal RNA
Rfam family: 5.8S ribosomal RNA (bases 1-105)
Source: RNAcentral